Molecule: ribosomal RNA, 503 nt
Filed under: uncultured bacterium
Lineage: Bacteria
Description: partial 16S ribosomal RNA
Rfam family: Bacterial small subunit ribosomal RNA
Source: RNAcentral
AUUGAACGCUGGCGGCAGGCUUAACACAUGCAAGUCGAGCGGAGUGAUGGUGCUUGCACUAUCACUUAGCGGCGGACGGGUGAGUAAUGCUUAGGAAUCUGCCUAUUAGUGGGGGACAACAUCUCGAAAGGGAUGCUAAUACCGCAUACGUCCUACGGGAGAAAGCAGGGGAUCACUUGUGACCUUGCGCUAAUAGAUGAGCCUAAGUCGGAUUAGCUAGUUGGUGGGGUAAAGGCCUACCAAGGCGACGAUCUGUAGCGGGUCUGAGAGGAGGAUCCGCCACACUGGGACUGAAACACGGCCCAGACUCCUACGGGAGGCAGCAGGGGGGAAUAUUGGACAAUGGGGGGAACCCUGAUCCAGCCAUGCCGCGUGUGUGAAGAAGGCCUUAUGGUUGUAAAGCACUUUAAGCGAGGAGGAGGCUCUUUUGGUUAAUACCCAAGAUGAGUGGACGUUACUCGCAGAAUAAGCACCGGCUAACUCUGUGCCAGCAGCCGCCGUAA